RNA transcript from Molossus molossus (Pallas's mastiff bat), 1953 nucleotides. It is a transcript of the gene named primase and DNA directed polymerase, with no coding region annotated. NCBI's taxonomy places the organism in Eukaryota, Metazoa, Chordata, Mammalia, Chiroptera, Molossidae. The record is from RefSeq and is a predicted model, not a curated record. The transcript has 15 exons.
UCUUUCAGGGAAACAGUAUAUUAUUUGCCAGUGAGUUGGUGUUGUCUCAGAGUUUUCUGCUAAAAUUCAAGAGAAUAUUUAUCAACUUGCAGUAAUUGAUAGAAAUCUUCCUGGGAUGGGGUCUCGUUUCCCCAUACUUCUGAACCAAUGAAGAGAAAAUGGGAAGCAAAGCUGAAGCAGAUUGAAGAACGAGCAUCCAGUUACGAAAGGAAACCCUUGUCCUCAGUGUACAGACCCCGGCUGUCAAAGGUAGAAGAACCACCCUCUAUUUGGAAACUAUUUUCUCGGCAAACUCAAGCUUUUAAUUUUGUUAAAAGCUGUAAAGAGGAUGUUCAUGUAUUUGCUUUGGAAUGCGAAGUGGGAGAUGGACAACGUAUUUACCUUGUAACAACCUAUGUUCAGCUUUGGUUUUAUUAUAAAUCCCGAAAAAAUCUCUUACACUGCUAUGAAGUCAUUCCUGAAAAAGCUGUUUGCAAGCUCUAUUUUGAUUUGGAAUUUAACAAACUUGCCAAUCCAGGAGCUGAUGGAAAAAAGAUGGUUGCAUCACUCAUUGAGCAUGUUUGUAAAGCACUUCAAGAGUUAUACAGGGUUAAUUGUUCAGCCGAAUAUGUUCUCAACUUAGAUUCUAGCACUGAUGAAAAAUUUAGCCGCCAUUUAAUAUUUCAACUCCAUGGGGUGGCAUUUCAAGAUAACAUUCAUGUUGGUAAUUUUGUGAGAAAAAUUUUGGAGCCUGCUAUUCAUUUACUUGCCAGUGAAGAUGACAAAGACGAUGGUGGGAUUCCCGAGACAACAGGCCACGGGUUCUCCCAUUUUUCUGAAGCCCCUGGUGAACAAGGAACCCCCUUCAGCAGAAUGCCCGCAGACGAGCUGCGUGAGAGCCAGAUGCUGGACUCAGGUGCCCCGGAGAGGCUGGGAGCAGCAGAGCGGAGCAGUCCUGACCUUUCAUUCUUAAUUGUGAAGGACACCACAGGAAAAAAGCAUCUUUUUGUAGAUCUGGGCGUUUAUACAAGAAAUAGAAACUUUCGGCUGUAUAAAUCAUCAAAAAGAGGAAAGCUUGUGGUUUUGGAGGUCGCCGAAGAUAACAAAUUUUCUCUUACACAGUCAAAGAACAUUUCUGAAGAAAAGCAAUACUUCCUCUCUUCUUUGGUCAGCAAUGUCAGAUUCUCAGACACUCUACAAGUUCUUAGAUGUGACACAUCUGAGAAGAAACAGAAACAGGCUGGGCAUUCUGAUACCAGCACUUCAGUAGGAAACAUUGAAGGUUUUCAGGGUUCACCCUACCCUGAAAUUGAUCAAUUUGUUCUUUCUUUGGUGAAUAAAAAUGGCAUUAAAGGAGGAAUUCGGCGUUGGAACUACUUUUUUCCAGAAGAAUUAUUGGUUUAUGACAUUUGUAAAUAUCGUUGGUGUGGCAACAUUGGAAGAGCCCACAAGAGUAAUAAUAUCAUGAUUUUGGUUGAUCUGAAAAAUGAAGUUUGGUAUCAAAAAUGUCAUGACCCCAUAUGUAAAGCAGAAAACUUCAAAUCUGACCGUUUUCCAUUACCUGCCGAAGUAUGUCUCCCAUCUCUUCUCAAAGAGGAAGAAGAGUUUACAACACAUGAAACAAUGAAUGAUGAAACCGAGAAUCCCCAUAUGUCAUCUAGUACACUGUCCAAAGGUGUACAACAUUGUGAUUAGACAUUUAUACAACUUAUGAAGUGACCACCCAAUGAUGGUUGUCAAUUUUGUGACUACACUACACCACCACUGAAUCACACAUGUUGAAAGGGUGAAUUUUAGGAAAUUAUUCCAGCAAAAAUGUGUGACCACUGCUGUUCUCGAGGUGCGGCAAUUGGGCCCCUCUGUGUCGCCUGCUUCUGGCCUCCGGAGUGGUCAGUGGCAUGGACAGAAGCAGCCCCGCUCGGACACACUGCUGGUCGGGCAGCCAGGAGCUAGCCCGUCUCCCCCUGGACACAG